UCUUUGUUUUUUCCUAUAUAUAAACAUAAAUAGGUAAUGAGCACUUUCUACUUGAGCAAUAAAAAGACCCAAUGUAUUACACCCUGUGUCCGGUGAAGUGGCAUAAAAAUCACAUGCACCUUCAGGCUUGAAGGAAUAUCUAUAUUUGGAGGCACGUCAAUUAAUUUGCAUAUCAGAUUCAUCAUUGUGACUUCUUGCAGGCCAGAUCUGAGAAGUAACCAGGAAACCUGACCCUUAGUGGAGAAUGGAAAAACCCUUGAAGUCAGAGCACAACUGAUC
Molecule: long non-coding RNA, 279 nt
Filed under: Ficedula albicollis (Collared flycatcher)
Lineage: Eukaryota; Metazoa; Chordata; Aves; Passeriformes; Muscicapidae
Description: lncRNA (ENSFALG00000026594.1)
Source: RNAcentral